This is a long non-coding RNA of Neofelis nebulosa (Clouded leopard), 349 nucleotides long. RefSeq lists it as uncharacterized. NCBI's taxonomy places the organism in Eukaryota, Metazoa, Chordata, Mammalia, Carnivora, Felidae. The transcript is spliced from 2 exons. The record is from RefSeq and is a predicted model, not a curated record.
AAAAACCACCACAAAUGCAGGAGCCAGAAGGGCUUGGUGUUCGUGCUGUGACCCCGUGAGAGGCAUCAUCUUUAAGGCACUCUUUACAAGGCAAUUUGCAAGACAGCCAGCUACAGUGUUGGGGCAGAGAUGUUCUUGCUGGGGAACAGAGCAAACCAUGGCAACCAUGGGAAUGAGGAGCCAAUCUUCUGAUUCAGACAUCCAUUGUUUUCUUAGACGAGAUGCAAAGAUGUUGGAGGCAAGAGACCGAUUAUAUUGCAACCUUCCCUUGACUCCUCAGCUGAUUCUCAUAGAGGUUCAUUUGAAUUAAGGAACUUAAAUACAGGCAUGCCAUGCCAACUUGGUCGCA